GAUGAACGCUAGCGGGAGGCCUAACACAUGCAAGCCGAGCGGUAUUGUUUCUUCGGAAAUGAGAGAGCGGCGUACGGGUGCGUAACACGUGUGCAACCUGCCUUUCUCUGGGGGAUAGCCUUUCGAAAGGAAGAUUAAUACUCCAUAAUAUAUUGAACGGCAUCGUUUAAUAUUGUAAGCUCCGGCGGAUAGAGAUGGGCACGCGCAAGAUUAGCUAGUUGGUGAGGUAACGGCUCACCAAGGCGAUGAUCUUUAGGGGGCCUGAGAGGGUGAUCCCCCACACUGGUACUGAGACACGGACCAGACUCCUACGGGAGGCAGCAGUGAGGGAUAUUGGUCAAUGGGAGCAAGCCUGAACCAGCCAUCCCGCGUGAAGGACGACUGCCCUAGGGGUUGUAAACUUCUUUUGUAUAGGGAUAAACCUACCCUCGAGAGGGUAGCUGAAGGUACUAGACGAAUAAGCACCGGCUAACUCCGUG
RNAcentral lists this ribosomal RNA (479 nucleotides) under uncultured bacterium. RNAcentral describes it as "partial 16S ribosomal RNA". It matches the Rfam family "Bacterial small subunit ribosomal RNA", at positions 28 to 507 of the family's 1533-position model. The record is from RNAcentral.